This 71-nucleotide transfer RNA is filed under the name Bigelowiella natans CCMP2755. Its description in RNAcentral is "tRNA-Pro for anticodon CGG". It matches the Rfam family "tRNA". Rfam says of the family: Transfer RNA (tRNA) molecules are approximately 80 nucleotides in length. Their secondary structure includes four short double-helical elements and three loops (D, anti-codon, and T loops). Lineage: Eukaryota; Cercozoa; Chlorarachniophyceae. The record is from RNAcentral.
GGGGCACUAGUAUAGUGGUAGUAUCCUACCUUUGGACGGUAGAGACCGUGGUUCGAUUCCACGGUGCCCCC